CCCUUAGAUGUCCGGGGCUGCACGCGCGCUACACUGAAGGAAUCAGCGUGCUAAAACCAUUGUCGAAAGGCAUUGGUAAACCCAUUAAAAUCCUACGUGAUUGGGAUCGGGAAUUGCAAUUAUUUCCCUUGAACGAGGAAUUCCCAGUAAGUGUGGGUCAUAAGCUCGCGUUGAUUACGUCCCUGCCCUUUGUACACACCGCCCGUCGCUGCCCGGGACUGAGCCGUUUCGAGAAAAGCGGGGACUGCUGCUGUCGGGGCUUUCGGGCCUUGGCUUCGGUGGAAACCGCUUUAAUCGCAGCGGCUUGAACCGGGCAAAAGUCGUANCA
This 328-nucleotide ribosomal RNA is filed under the name uncultured eukaryote. RNAcentral describes it as "partial 18S ribosomal RNA". It matches the Rfam family "Eukaryotic small subunit ribosomal RNA", at positions 1470 to 1796 of the family's 1831-position model. The record is from RNAcentral.